GGGCUUAUGGGUCAGAGCUGGACACAGAAAAUACAAACUCUGAAGUGAAUUUCACAUCUGUGCACCAGACAUCAGAGAAACAUAAUCAGAAUCUUGGCAUUUGUGAAUUGGAGGGUAUUUGUACCAUACUGCUGCAUUCUGCUUGACGCUAUCAGAGGGAUUGAAAGUACAUGAAAUAACAGCACAUAGGCCAGUCUGUGCUGUUAUUUCUUCUGGACUGAAGAUGAUGCUGUUUGUCUUUGCAGCUGAUGGAGCUGCUGCAGUAGGGGCCUGUCCUGAUGGAGGGAAGUAAAUAAUCAGAGAAGAGUAGAGUUGCCCAGAUGAGGACCCACAUGCUGCCUCCACUGCCUCAAUUAAUCAACCACAACACCAGGGUGUGUCCUCUUUUACCUCUUUCUAUGGUCUCCUUGUC
Molecule: long non-coding RNA, 412 nt
Organism: Oncorhynchus kisutch (coho salmon)
Lineage: Eukaryota; Metazoa; Chordata; Actinopteri; Salmoniformes; Salmonidae
Exons: 3
Source: RefSeq, a predicted model, not a curated record